RNAcentral lists this long non-coding RNA (1126 nucleotides) under Coturnix japonica (Japanese quail). RNAcentral describes it as "lncRNA (ENSCJPG00005014365.1)". Lineage: Eukaryota; Metazoa; Chordata; Aves; Galliformes; Phasianidae. The record is from RNAcentral.
GGCUCCUGUUGUUCCGUCAGGCCCCGCCCCGCAUUCACUACGUGGAGGACGGUUUGUUGCGGUGCUCGGAGCCCAGCCGGGCUGUAGCGAGGCGGCUAACCUUGUUUGGUUUCCUCUUUGCUUAUGGACGUGGCGUGUGGAAGCACGGAGCAAACAGCGCCAUGUGCCCCGAGGGAGAGCGGCUGUGUGAGCCCUGCUCAGUGGUCCCAGCGGUGUCGUGCUGCCAUCGCGGUGGAUUCCGUUCAGAACAAACCCCAAACAUGUAGGAAAACUCUAGAAUGCCAGAAGUUAUGGAAUCCUUGCUCCAUCUCAAGAAGAGGACCAUGAUCUGAAUAGUUACAGAAGAGUUUUCUUGUCCUGCUGCUUUUACCGUAAGUUCUAAUGCAAAGAUAUUUUUAUAUUAUUAUAAAAGGAAAAAGUCACUGUCACUAUGGAAAAAUUAGUUAAUCCUGAAAUAGCAAAAUAGUGCAGACAGUUAACAUGCAAGCCUCAAAACUCCCAGCCAGUUGGAAUACGUGGUUGUGGAAAAUGAAGUUUAGAGUUGGCUAAAAUAUGUGAAAUAUUUUCCAUGUGACUUCAGCUCUGCCUAUGAUCGUUUUCACAGCUUGCUUAGCUUCCCAUUAGAUGUCCAGUAGUGUCUGUAUCCAAUAGAACACUGGGUGUUCUCAGGGUAUACCUGUUGUUGUUUGUUUCAUUUUAAAAUGUACAGAAGUGAUGCUGUUCUUCCCACUUUUGCUAUCUCCUAGGCUAAUUACUUUUUAAUUUUUAAGUAAUCAUCUUUUCUGUUUCUUCCUUUACCUGUGUUCCCUUCUGGUGAAUGUUUUAAAUUUCUAUUAUUUCUUUAUUCUCUCAUUUAUUUUUAAACUGCAUAGCUGUAUUCAGAGGUGCAAUGAGUGCGGGUAUCUGUUGUGUGGGAAGGAAAAACCCCAACAGACUGAACUAUUAUAUUUUAUAAAACAAAUUUUGUUCUUAUUACUUAAAAACAAUACAAAAAGUCCAAACCACACUCCUACUAAAUUUGAAUAUUCAGUAAAAUUACAAUUUCUUCCAUGUUCAUCACAGGAAAAUCUUCUUAGGUUUUCUCUUGUCGAACAUAUUUGAAGUAUUUGACUAGCAAAACUGCAGU